Molecule: non-coding RNA, 2538 nt
Organism: Oryza sativa Japonica Group (Japanese rice)
Lineage: Eukaryota; Viridiplantae; Streptophyta; Magnoliopsida; Poales; Poaceae
Source: RefSeq, a predicted model, not a curated record
GCUAGGCUCGCUCGCUCGCGUCGCGUGCGGAUUUGCCUCGUAAAUUUUCCUACCUACCGCGCAUCCUCCGCCACGCACGCACGCACGAGUCUCCACCCAAAACCAACACCAACAACCAUGGCCGCCACCGCCACCGCUUGCCCCGCGCCGCCGCCGCCGCGGAGCCUCUACCGCGGCGUGGCGCUCGCGGCGCCCGGCCGACGGAGGGCCGGGUACGGCGCCUCCUCCUCCGCCGCACGCCGGUGGCCGGGCUGCCGGCGCCGCUGGGCGGCGCACCGGAUCCGCACGGUGAGCUGCGCGUAUUCUCCUCGCGGAGCCAAAACAAUUACGGCAUGUUCUUGGAAUGAAUAUGUGAUCUGCAGUGAUAUACCUGUGCUUAUUGAGUUUUGGGCCUCAUGGUGUGGACCCUGCAGAAUGGUCCACCGAAUUGUUGAUGAGAUUGCACAAGAAUAUGCUGGAAGGAUAAAAUGCUAUAAGCUUGACACUGAUGAUUACCCACAAGUCGCAACAUCUUACAGCAUCGAGAGGAUUCCAACUGUUUUACUCUUUAAGGAUGGAGAGAAAACGCAUAGCAUUACUGGGACUCUUCCGAAGGCUGUUUAUGUGAGAGCCAUUGAGAAAUCUAUCUCAGACUCAGAGCAAUGAUCAAUUCGGCUAGAUACUUCAUAGUGUGUUCUGGUUCAGAUUUAUAUUCCACUGUACCAGUAUACUUGAUGUCUUGAUUAAUCACUACUGAGUAUUGCAGAAAGUAUUGAAGAUGCAGCUAAUCAGCUGAAGGUUUUUCUUCUCAUAUGGUAUGUCACUUCUCUUUCAAGUAGCUUUACAAGGUAUGCACUAUUAAACUUUGUGGUUAUUAAUUCCACAUUUUUUUUCUCGUUAAUCUGUGCCUCUGCGGUAUCUCUGGAAUCAACUGGCAAAAUAAACCCAUGGUAAUCAAUCAGAUAGGUUCUAUAUAUGAAACUCCAUGUCGGUUUUCUAAGAGAUUGAAAACAGGAGGAUGCAUUUGUUGAGAAUAAGAGAUGAAGUUUUUGAAAGAUGAAAAUUAAAUGGAGAAUUCUAAGAGAGCUAUUCUGCCCAAUCUUGUGUACUUGUUGCUUCUGCUCAGGUUAUAUUUGUUAGCCUUUUUUGCACCAGGAUUUGUGCUUCUGAAAUACUACCUUCGGGUCAGCUCAGGAACCCAUGCGAUCUGGUGAGCUGCUUCUGAACCCAGCGCUUCUACAUGGAUCUGCACUAUUCCACGGUACUUAUGCAGGGGGGAUCCUAGUAUUGCAUAUGAGUAUAUCAGGAUGAUAGUGGCAACCCGCAAGCAUGUACUAGCACUCAGGCAGCAAGCGCUGAUACUCAGGUAAAGCAUGGAUCCCAUUCCACUUGUAAAUGAUGUAAGUCAGGCAAUGCUUGGAACCCAUGGUGCUUGUUUUUCUCUUUUCUGGCUAAGUCAGCAUGGUGGGUUAGACGUUUGUGGCUGUAGACCCUGCAGAGAGUAUAUCUUAGUGAAUUACUUUACUUGUUGGAGGUAAUACUGGUUGUAGAACCCUUUGAUAGCAGAGAGAACCAACUAUAGUUAAUAUAGCUGGCAUAUGUGAUUGAUGGCCGUUCUAGUCCCUGGGUGAAUUGCCAUUGUCAUCACUAGAUAUACUGUGAUGUUGGCGUGAAGGCUUUUCAGGUAGAAUGACUUGAUGGAUUUUUAGCUGCAGACUGAUGAGUCGAAAUCUUGGUAUCAUCUCAUAUUCUGAGCUGUUCCCCUUCCUCACAAGUAGAAGAGAACAAAAGAUAUACCUUGUUACUGAAGCUCGCAAUUUGGUCAGAGCUGGUAUUUGGGAUCUGCUCAUCAGUGCUCCUACCGUCCUGCGCUGCUAGACUGCUACUGAGCCUGGAGAAUGCUGGUUCAUGCAAUGACUGAAUACUAAGUGGGACUCUGGACAGAAGGUGGUAGGACUCCCAGAAGCAACAUGGCUGCCAAGUUGAGCAACUGAUCAUACAUGAUGAGCUCGAAGGUCCAAGUUGGUGGCAGAUGGCUUUGAUAUGAGGAUGAUCAUCUACAGGAAUGGUGGCCAGUAAUGCUGACCUGCAAUGAUUUUGGUAGCACAAUAGCAACAAGAUGGCCAUGAAUUUUCAAUGUUUUCAUGCUGAACAGUGAGCACUGAGCACUCGUGCAUAGCAAGUGGUCUAAGUGGAGUGAAGGACACAAUAGAUUUGGAUUCCUUCAACAUUGAAUGGAUUAGUGUUAAUGAUAUCCUAUUGAAUCGCUUUUCAUGUCAUCUCAUUUUCCUUCGACUACAGUAGUGCAUAGGAGUUGAUCAAGGAAAUAGCUCAAGAAUAUGCUGUAACUCUGGAAGAAUUGCUUGGAUAUCCUUAAUUAUCACCUGCUGAUUGCCCGCUUACAGAAUUUGUAGACCCCAAUGUUGAUAAGAGAUAUAAUACAUAUAACAUCUUGCUGAAGCAUGUAGACUAUUUAGUAGUGCUCAUUCUAGCUUAGAAAAACUUAUUAGGAUUUUCCUCUUCUGUUUAAUCUUUUGCUGCAUGAAACGUAGUGCAUCA